CUUUACUGUAGCUUUGUAUUGGACUUUGAACAGAUCUGUGUAGGAUAGGUGGGAGGCUUUGAAGUGCGGUCGCUAGAUCGCAUGGAGCCAACGUUGAAAUACCACCCUGGUGUGUUUGAGGUUCUAACCUAGGUCCAUUAUCUGGAUCGGGGACAGUGCAUGGUAGGCAGUUUGACUGGGGCGGUCUCCUCCCAAAGCGUAACGGAGGAGUUCGAAGGUACGCUAGUUACGGUCGGACAUCGUGACGAUAGUGCAAUGGCAUAAGCGUGCUUAACUGCGAGACUGACAAGUCGAGCAGAUGCGAAAGCAGGACAUAGUGAUCCGGUGGUUCUGUAUGGAAGGGCCAUCGCUCAACGGAUAAAAGGUA
This 367-nucleotide ribosomal RNA is filed under the name uncultured organism. RNAcentral's name for it is "bacterial LSU rRNA". It matches the Rfam family "Bacterial large subunit ribosomal RNA", at positions 2099 to 2465 of the family's 2925-position model. The record is from RNAcentral.